This 1296-nucleotide ribosomal RNA is filed under the name Triticum aestivum (bread wheat). RNAcentral describes it as "partial small subunit ribosomal RNA". The record is from RNAcentral. Lineage: Eukaryota; Viridiplantae; Streptophyta; Magnoliopsida; Poales; Poaceae.
AUGGAGCCGUCGGAGACUAGCCCAGCCGUCACCACCAUCGACUCCCUCAAGGACGACAACAUCGAGGACGUCCUGCUGCGCCUCCCGUCGCCGGCCUCCCUCGCUCGAGCCGCGCUCGCCUCACGCCGCUGGCGCGGCAUCGCCUCAAGCUCCCCCUUCCUGCGCCGCUUUCGCGAGCUCCACCCCCGGUCACCCAUCCUCGGCCUCUUCGCCUCCCAGCCGGACCUCCAGCAGCUCCCCAUCUUCCACCCCGCGGCCGCCGCCCGCUCCGACCCGGACCUCGCAGCCGCCGCGCGUGGGGGCGACUUCCUGCUCACCCGCCUCGAGGACGACCCGGCGUGGCGCUUCCGGGACUGCCGCAACGGCCUCCUCCUCCUCCGCAGAGGCCACUCCCUUUCCCUCUACGACCCCGUCUCCCACCGGCAAGUCCGCGUGCCCCGUCCACCGAAGGACGAGCCCUUCCCUGCAGCUGGAGCAGCGGAGUACUUAUGGGACUGCUUGCUGGACGGCCAUGGAGAAUUCCGCGUGGUCACCGUGCAGCGAGACGGCCAAAGGUUGCGCGCCAUGGAGUACGCCUCCCGCACAGCCGAGUGGCGCAUCCACCCGUGGGCGGACGGCAUCCACAUGCCUGCGCAUGCGCAGAGCAUGCGACCGAUGCUCGCUGCCGCGGCCGGGCUCAUCUUUUGGAGAUAUGACCGGAACUCCUCGCUCCUGCUCGAUACAAGCACCAUGGCAUUCUCCUUCUCCAUCGUCCCUCUCCCAGUUACAAUAGCGACGCACACGAUGAUGCCGCCGGGAGCAUACGCCAUCGGAGACACCGAGGCCGGUGUGUGUUGCCUUUUGCUUAUGGUCGGCAGGACUACGCUGCAAGUCUGGCUACUCAAGAAGAAGGACGGCGGCGGCGGGCAUGCGUGGGAGUUGGAGAAGCAAAGCCAUAUAGGCUGGCUGGACAGCUUCAACCGGCGGUUUGGUGUCCAAAUGGUGGCUGCUGGGCUCGCAAUUGUUUACUGCAUGAGUUGCAAGUAUUCUCACUUUGUCAUUGAUCUCAAGGACCUGAGCCUCAAGGAUAAGUUCCGUUGUCAUCGAACCAUGGCGUACCCUUUCCAAAUGCCAUGGCCACCUGCUGCGUUGGUGCCUACUUCUCCGUGCGAACGGCCCACCACACCCCAAACAUAUGCAUGCCGAGAUGCUGAAAAUCAACACGAAGCACCUUCUUCUAGUAGGAAGCGCAAGAGCAAUGAUGAAAUGGAGCCAUGUAUUUCCCCAGCUUCUUUGAAGAAUGAAUUCAUCAGAUAA